UUCUGGUUGUAGAGCUUAUUUCUUCGAGUCUCUGGCCCUGAGCUUGGCCUUGCGAACAGCCUGGGCACAGCUGCUAGCAGAUAGGAUGUGAGGCUGCAAUCAGCAUGAUGUCUGGGCCUGGCUCUGCACUCUGUCAUCUGCUGUGAGAAGCACACACCGGAGGAGCCACAGGUGGUCCUUGUGCAAUGCCACUGGAAGGAGACAGCUCACCAGCACUGCCCUUGUUCUGAAGUUGGACUGAGGACCUGCCCAGCUCCAGCCUGGUGAGCCCUGUUUCAGAGGAAGGCAAGUCCUCCAGCAAACCCUGGUGCUCUUCAAGAUGAGUGACCCUCCUCUUCUGUGCAUGUACUCCAAGCCGACCCAUCUGGAGCGUCCAUGGUUUGAGGUCAGAAUUAGGACACUCUCGCCUCGGAGAACCCUACCCUGGCCACCUUUGACUUCUGUCCAGGCUCACUAGUACCAACUGGAAGCUGUCUGUCUCCAGCUGCUGUUUCCUCUCAGAAUCCCCAGCUCCUGGGGCAGAACCUCCAUGGAGAUGCCCAGUGUUUUAGAGCAAGGCUUUUUCAGAUGAAUGAGGAAGAUGGAGCAUCUUUACUUUCAGAGAGCUGGCAUCCUGUGAGCAGCAGACAGUAAAUCAUUUGUCAAGUUCUGACAAGUGCUGUACAGCAAAGAGAAUGAUGGUGGGAGGUACUGUGUUCCAUACAGUGGCCCAGCAGGCAUCUGAUGGGAUGAUCCUUGAGCCGAGAGCUGAAAGGUAACCAUUCUCCAUGGACUCAGUGAGCCUAGAGAUGGAAUCGUUCCCCUCUGUCCUCCUAGACCCCUGAGCUGGAGCUGCUGAACAGCACCCUGGAACUGCUGCGGGUGAACUGGGCCAAGCUGUGAGAUAUGGAGUGGCAGGCUGCAGAGGUGCUCAGAUGGUGCAUUCACCCCUGCAAAGUGGACCCUGGGCUACACUGCUUGCUUCCCCCAGGUUUACUACAGGGGAGCACACUCCCACAUGUUUGAGUCUUAGACUCCUACCUGAGCCAUGGCUUCCCCAAGCACAUUAUUCUGCUCCUUCCUUCUUGCUUGCUGUUCCACCAUCGUGCUUGGCUGCAUUCUAGGAAGCUGCUCUCUCUCCCUCAGUCCUCACCAGCAAGUGAAGGGGGGAAAGCUUGGACACCAUGACACCGAGGAACCAGCCAGUCUUCUGUCUCCUUGUCCUCCGCUGUGGGCUUCAGCCCAGGAACUUGGCCCAGUGGCGUCCCCCAGCCCACCUCCUCCUCCUGGGAGUGGAGCCAAAGAAGAGUUAAACUCCCUGGAGUGGACUUGGGCUCUUUGGCAGAGGACAGCCUGGGAAAGCUGUUUGUUUGGCUCCGUUUACCUCAGGUUAGUUGCAUGGAAACAGAGCCCAGAACGUGGGAAUUCCAUGGGAUGGGGAGAGGUUUUUGCCCUUCCUCUCUCCCUCCUUUCCUCCGUACUGUGGACCUGCAUCUUACAACAUGGAAAUAACACUUAGCUUCUUCAGGAGUGGCCAUAGUGUUCCUUUGGUCUUUCUGUCCUCCCAAGAAAGGAAAGCCCCAGUGUACCCCAAUGGAAUCCUUAACAGGUUUUGCCCCUAACCCCCAUUCCCCUGCCUUUCUUCCUGAGCUCCUGAGCUUUCUCUGAGGCACAGACCAAGAGCCCCAAGCCACACAGGCUGUGGAAGUUAAUGUCCAGCGUGGGGACAUGACCUCAGGCUGCCCCCACUGAGGGUCUGCUGUGGGUCUGGGCAGGAGAGAAGGCAAGUCAGGGAGGGAGCCUCUUUAAUGCUGUGAGGGUGGAAGGUCAGAGAAGACACACUUCACCACCUAGCGCAUUGGUGCAGGCUUGCACUGCUAGGCUGGCCAUCUGCAGCAUGCUUAUAUCUGGCAGUCGGCAGUUCAGAGCCCCAGACUGAGCCCUUGCAUUGCUGAGAAGCAGUGGUUGGAGGAGCUCUUUGGAUGGACCUCUCCUGCUGCCAAGCCCAGCGGAGCCCAGAAGCCUGGGAACAACCAUGUUAGCAAAGUCUCUCACCUAUUUUCAAGCUUUGCCUCCUUAUUUUGACAUUUCCAGCUACACAGGCUGUGGCUAUUCCUUGUGCCCAGUUGCUUCCUGUAGACCCUGGGACAUAAUGAGCAUCCCUCCCUCCCCUGCACCCCAUGCACAGCACACACACACACCCCUCCCUGAAGUUAUAUUAAGUGCUCGGAUGCCAUCAGCCCUCCCCCGGAGCAGACUUUCUCUCUUUGGUCCUGAAUGUCUUCAUAAAUUAGGAAUCCACAACAUGUGGUCUUGGGGGCCAUCAGGUCAACCCCUUAAUGUACAGGGAGGGCCAGAGCCCACAGGUCAUGCAGUGCAUUCUGGGGAAAUGCAGCAAAUUCCUGUGGAGCCUGUGCUGGUGCUAGUGCUGCCAAUACCGUGCCUCAGCCCCUGCCAGGGUCCAAAUGCUAAUCUGCUCCUACUGAGUUCCUCAAAACAGUUGUGUGAGAUCAGAUGCAGUGGACCCUGGUCUUGUUUCCCUCGCACCGGUAAUGUGGCUGCCAGGAAUAUCUCAGAGCCCGUGGUCACUCCCACGCAGGUGUCCUGUGAGGGUGAGUGAGCCUCAAGCCACUUUGCAAUGUAUACCAGUGAGAAGUGUCUGAGGCUAGGCAACAGCAUGAAAAGCAAUCUGAGCAAGUAAGGUUUACCACUGUGGGAUGCUGCAUGCCUGCUUUUAGCCUCCACUCCCCUCUGAAGGGACUGGGUGGGCUGUCCUCUGCCGGUGGCCUUGUGGACCCAGGGCUUCAGCCCAGUUAUUUCCUCCUCCUGUUCUCUUUGAUGGCCUGUGGCCAUUGGCAGGUGGAUAGAGGUGAUCAUCUGAAACAUGACCUAUGCCAGCCAACACUCUAGCUUUCUCCUUCCUGUUCUGUUGAUGCCAAUAGAACCAGCCACAGGCCAGUCCACUGGCCUAAAUUAGAGGACACAGGAAAUAACUCCAAAUUCUCCCACUGCCAAGCCCAGCCAAGGCUAGAAGUCCAGGGGCAACCAUGUUAGCAAGACUUUAAAUGGUUGCUAUUGGCAGCUACUAGGCUUUGAGAUUGCUUGUUACGCACAAUUUUUUUCAGCAGUUGCUGACCAGCCCAACAUGUUCAAGGAUGAGGUGGGAAGUUGGAAGUAUGGCAAUUGCUCUGAAGUUACCUUAUGAAUUCAAUACAUUAUCUAAUCAAACUCUCAAUAGGAAUUUUUAGAACUUGAAAAACAGAUUCUAAUUUAUGUAUAGAAAAAUAAACUCUAUGAAUAGCUUAGAACAUUUUGAAAAAGAUGAGCGAAAUUUGGGGCAUUGGAGAAAGCUCAUUUACUAGACUCUAAAACAGAAUACAAAGCCACCAGACUUGGAAGUGUGGGACUGGGAGAGAAGGCAGACAGAGCCCCAGGAGUGGAAGGGGCUUGGAGAAAGAGAUCAGGUACAUGAUAACAUGUAUGGGGGGAAAGGAUAGAUCAUUCGCUAAUAGGGUUGGGAAAUGUGGGCAGUAUGUGGAGAAAAAUGAAAUUGUUUCCCCCUUCACACCAUGUUAACUAAAUUAACUCCAGAUGGAUUCAGCACAUAAAUGAGAACAAUGAAACAAUAAAGAUGAUUUCUUAAGGGCAGGAAAAUAUCUUAGUGAGCUUGAGGUGAGGAGAAGGACUUUCUAAUCAAGAUGAUACUAGAGGUCCUGAGGCUAGAGGUAACUAGAGGUUUGUCAGUCAGGGUGACCUUUUCCUCACCAGGGGAGGACACCAGAGAUCGGGUGGCCAGACCUGCAAUGUGGGGGACUCAGGAAGGAGUCACAGCAGGAGAGCCAAGCAUGUCGUGAGCAGAAGGAGUAGAAGAUGGGACACCCAGCACAGGGAGAGCAGCAGGUGGACAGAGGCCACCCACAGAGCAGAAGCACCAAUGGUCAGUCAGGGACAAACAUGCUUAAUAUCCCCAGUGGCUGGCAAUGUGCAGGGGGCCCUGGAGGAACAGCCUUUAGGAUGAUGUGGACAUUUGCAGGGAAGAGACAUCUGUCUCUGGGGAGCAGUGGAACCAUGCUGAGUCCUAGCUGGCCUGUUCUCUGCACUGUCACUAGAGGGGACAAGAAUGAGAGGCCCACUGGUUUCCCAUCACAGAGGCCCAGCUCAGGGGAGAGGGCUGUGACCUGCUAGCUGCACACACAAGAAUGCGGACCAGGUCUCAGUGACAAAAGUCACCAGUGCUGGAUGGACUCAGAGGCCCCAGCAAUUUCCAAGGCAGUUGCACCCUGGGAAGGGGCUUUCCAGGAGGCAUUGGGGGUGACACCUUCCUGCUUACGGCCCCACUGUUCACAGCAUGUUCAGUGGCCAGCAGGGAUCUCAGGGCCUUCUCCUGGGCCCAGCCUAUGCCCUACAGGUCAGAGGAGGGGGCUGGAGUGGUAGGGCUCAUGGAACAUCCAGGCUUAUCAUCCACCUUCUCUGGGCCCCUGAGUUUUGAGUUGCAGGUCAUCUCUCAAGGGGAAUCCUGCCUCAGUUUCCUCACAGUGCCCUCUGAGCCUAGCCUGCUCAUGACCAACCCACCCAGCCCUGAGACUUGCUGUGGAGGGGCCAGUGUGCCCCACCAGGCCACUGCCCCCCUGACUUGUAGAGUUACCACCCACUGGACCACUGACUGUGCCUGACCCAGCAGCAGGCUUAGCCCACACCCCAAGGGCAGCCCGAGCCCAGCCCCAGCUCCAGGCAAUGCCUUUGUCUCUUGUGACCCCCGUAGGACCCUCAGUGGGCCAACCCUGGAUCCGGUUGAUCAGUUCCACCAUGCUGACUAGGGUUGGCCUGGUUCAUAGCAUGCCUGAAUUCCCCAGAGCAGCAGGUCCUGCCUGUCAGGGGGAUGGAUUCUGCACACAUGCGGUUUAACACUCAUUACUAUUUUCGGUUUGAAACUCAACAUGACACCCAGUCUGGAUGGUGAUAUCUGACACAUUACAGGUGAGAGCUUCGCGGGUGUGGGCUUUGGCCUUCUGCCUCCUCUGCCUGGCAUGGCUUUGGGCAAAGAGCUGACACUCCGAUUGGAUUGUUGGCACCUUGCCCCAUCCCCCUUCCUCUGCCAAGAGCCCCACAGGUUGGAAUCUGUCAUUUUGUUCUACUUACAGCCAGCACCUACAGGUGUCUUUUGGCUUUGGACCAGACCAAUCUUGUCUUCUACCCUGUUGCUGCUUUAGGGAUGAGGCAUGUCCUCUGCUCCUGUGAUUUAGGUCAGCACUCAGACUUCUGAGUCUCACUGUUCAAGAUAUGAGCCUAAAGCUGCUUGCUUGGAGUGCCUUUCCACCACAGAUGCUAGAAACAGAACAAACAGGGAGAACAAAGUCAGAAAAGGAACGAGACCAAGUGUGAGCUCCUGGACCCAGCCAUGCCUGAAGCACAAACCCCUUGACUGUCCAGUCAUUAUUUGAGCCAAGGGCUCCCUUUUUUCCCUUUCCCUUUCUUUUUUUUCUUUUCUUUCUGUGUGUGUGU
Non-coding RNA from Heterocephalus glaber (naked mole-rat), 5481 nucleotides. NCBI's taxonomy places the organism in Eukaryota, Metazoa, Chordata, Mammalia, Rodentia, Bathyergidae. The record is from RefSeq and is a predicted model, not a curated record.